Molecule: ribosomal RNA, 701 nt
Filed under: Lachnospiraceae bacterium P43
Lineage: Bacteria; Bacillati; Bacillota; Clostridia; Lachnospirales; Lachnospiraceae
Description: bacterial SSU rRNA
Rfam family: Bacterial small subunit ribosomal RNA
Source: RNAcentral
UCAUGGCUCAGGAUGAACGCUGGCGGCGUGCUUAACACAUGCAAGUCGAACGGGCUUAGAUCGGAAGCUUGCUUUUGAUUUAAGUUAGUGGCGGACGGGUGAGUAACGCGUGGGUAACCUACCCUGUGCAGGGGGAUAGCAGCUGGAAACGGCUGAUAAAACCGCAUAACACGGCGAUGCCGCAUGGCAAUGCCGUCAAAUAUUUAUAGGCACAGGAUGGGCCCGCGUCUGAUUAGCUAGUUGGCGGGGCAACGGCCCACCAAGGCGACGAUCAGUAGCCGGCCUGAGAGGGUGAACGGCCACAUUGGGACUGAGACACGGCCCAAACUCCUACGGGAGGCAGCAGUGGGGAAUAUUGGACAAUGGGGGAAACCCUGAUCCAGCGACGCCGCGUGAGUGAAGAAGUAUUUCGGUAUGUAAAGCUCUAUCAGCAGGGAAGAUGAUGACGGUACCUGACUAAGAAGCACCGGCUAAAUACGUGCCAGCAGCCGCGGUAAUACGUAUGGUGCAAGCGUUAUCCGGAUUUACUGGGUGUAAAGGGAGCGUAGGCGGCCGUGCAAGUCAGGUGUGAAAUCCCGGGGCUCAACCCCGGUACUGCACUUGAAACUGCGUGGCUGGAGUACAGGAGAGGCAGGCGGAAUUCCUAGUGUAGCGGUGAAAUGCGUAGAUAUUAGGAAGAACACCGGUGGCGAAGGCGGCCU